Camelina sativa (false flax) is the source of this 1228-nucleotide long non-coding RNA. RefSeq lists it as uncharacterized. NCBI's taxonomy places the organism in Eukaryota, Viridiplantae, Streptophyta, Magnoliopsida, Brassicales, Brassicaceae. The record is from RefSeq and is a predicted model, not a curated record.
ACCGGAAUUGCAGUUAACUCCAACUUUUUGGGGUCUAAUUGACUCAAAAUAUAAUUCUGGGGUUUAAUGUAUAAUAAAAUUAUAAACUUAGGAGUGAGUUUAGAAGGUUAUGUUCCUCGUUCAGUAACUGAAAUCUUCUCUGCGCUUUCAACUUCACCGCUACACACACUCUCUUCACUUGUUGGAACAACAGUCGCGCCAAAAUUCAUCAUCAAGGCUUAAGCUUUCUUUAAUGGAAGGAGAUACCCACGAAGGAUCUCUCGAUCUCCAAGCGAUUCGCAGCCGCGUGAAUGAGGUCGAUUUCAUUCACCGGAACUACAGAGACGAACCUGAACAAUCCGAUUCCGAGACUCUGAUCCAAGAUAAUUGCGAGAGAUUUUAUAAAUUUGGGAUUUUUAUGGUCUAAUUAAGUAUCUCGAUAGAUGGCUAAAAAAUUCACAAUUUUUUUUUAUGGGAUUUUGUGUUGACGAAGCUGAAUGAGAUUGUUGAAGAUUGAUUUAUUGGAUGUUGAAGAUUCAGAUGCUUACUUGGAGUACUGAGAAAGGAGCUUCAUUCAGUGGAAGCUGAAAGUGCCAAAGGUCUCCUGCUGAAGCACUAUACAUAGGAGGCAAAACCCGGUGUAACAGUCAGCAAGGACUCUGUCAGUGAAACUGCUUGAAGUCCCUGCCGAAACCUUAAGGGCAUUUUGUGGUGGCUAUCAGCGGAGAACAGCAUGUGAACAUUGUAAGAGACUGGAGCCUGGAGGAAUCAUCCAGACCUUGUGUUGAAGGAGGAAGGAGAAGAAAGGGGUCACACAAAUGCAUAUCGAUCUACUUCAUCCUAUUCCUAAACAGAGGCCCUCUCUUCUUCUGACAUACAUUAGAUAUGGAGAUGAUCGAGAGGUUCUUAUGAUGAAGAGCAGAGGGAAAACGGGAAAGAUAAAGAUCUUUAUCAAAAAAAUCUUUAUCUUUUUUGAUGCAGGUAAGAAAACGGGAAAACGGGGAAGAUAAAGAUUUUUUGAUGCAGGCACAAACUGGUAAAUCCACUUGCAUUAAUUUCUUCAUUUUCCCAAGAAUUUAAUGCAAGUGGAGAAGGACUUUUAUUAAACUCGUGCCUGCAUGAAAUGAGUCUAAAGUUAAUUUACAUCUACUACAUCACUUUGUAUAAAUGAUACUAGUUGAUGUUGUCUAUGUUAGAUCGUCAACCAUAUAUAUCUCUUUUCCCUAAACAAAUGGAAUCAGAUCGAACA